Nicotiana tabacum (common tobacco) is the source of this 415-nucleotide non-coding RNA. NCBI's taxonomy places the organism in Eukaryota, Viridiplantae, Streptophyta, Magnoliopsida, Solanales, Solanaceae. The record is from RefSeq and is a predicted model, not a curated record.
AUUAACAAUUCAUACUUUCACAUAUACAAAAGUUCAAGAGUGAACAAAAAUGAAGAGUUACAUUAUGCUUUUCCUCCUCUCUAUGGCAAUAUUUUUCACUUUGUUUGAUCCUGCACUAGGUGAUCCUAAAUUUUGCCCUGGAAGUUUCAAGGCUAAUCAAACAUGUGAUAAAAUUAGUUGUGGCAAUCUAGCUCUAUUCCAGUGGCCAGCAAGUAUGAUGCCUCAUAGUUGUACAUGUGCAGCUGCAGGAAGUAAUCAAAGCCUUUGUACAUGUCAAAUAGUUUGCCAAGCAAAUUAAUGCAAAAGAAAAGGCAGUUAUUGUCAAUGCCAAUUGAUGAGUAAUCAUAUCAAAUAUGUAUUGAAUGAUCGCGAAUAAACACAAAUAAAAGUUCUCUCUAUAAUAUAUUAUUUUUUA